Mauremys mutica (yellowpond turtle) is the source of this 305-nucleotide long non-coding RNA. RefSeq lists it as uncharacterized. NCBI's taxonomy places the organism in Eukaryota, Metazoa, Chordata, Testudines, Geoemydidae. The record is from RefSeq and is a predicted model, not a curated record. The transcript has 3 exons.
GAGGAGUUCAGGUGGUGCUCCUGGCUGGCCAAAGGCACCUGCAGCACCACAGACAGCUCAGUGCUGGCAGGACUGUGGGGGAGCUGGCUGCUGGGCCUGAACUUAGAUGAGCCCUGAGAAAAGCAGCUGUGCCCUUCCUGUUCUGUGAGCUUGGGACAAAUAUUCAUGAUCAGUGAUUCUCCAGGAGAGCUCACAAGGUCUGGUUUGGAUAAGGAUCUGGAAGGCAGUCUUCUGAGCUACAGUUUAGGAUGGUGGUGAUAAAACAAUGUGCUUGAAUGGAGCAGAAGGAAGAAAUCCACGGGGAG